GGCGGUCCUGGGGUGAUGCACCCUGGAAUUGAGCUCCCUCCUCUCUGGUUCUGGGUGUGUCACCUGAGAACCCCA
Myotis davidii is the source of this 75-nucleotide non-coding RNA. The record is from Rfam. Lineage: Eukaryota; Metazoa; Chordata; Mammalia; Chiroptera; Vespertilionidae.